This 312-nucleotide ribosomal RNA is filed under the name uncultured prokaryote. RNAcentral's name for it is "partial 16S ribosomal RNA". It matches the Rfam family "Bacterial small subunit ribosomal RNA", at positions 26 to 352 of the family's 1533-position model. The record is from RNAcentral.
AGGAUUAACGCUGGCGGCGUGCCUGACACAUGCAAGUCGAACGAGGCCGCAAGGCCUAGUGGCGGACGGGUGAGUAAUGCGUAGGAAUCUACCCACGAGUGGGGGAUAGCCCGGAGAAAUCCGGAUUAAUACCGCAUAUGCCCUACGGGGUAAAGCGGGGGAUCGUAAGACCUCGCGCUGGUGGAUGAGCCUACGUCCGAUUAGUUAGUUGGUGGGGUAAAGGCCUACCAAGCCGAUGAUCUGUAGCUGGUUUGAGAGGAUGAUCAGCCACACUGGAACUGAGACACGGUCCAGACUCCUACGGGAGGCAGC